GUGGGUGUGAGGAGAAAGGAAGAAAAAGCGCUUGGGGUCGAAACACGGCAAGACUCCUGAGCGCUUUUUCAGU
Molecule: small RNA, 73 nt
Filed under: Allocoleopsis franciscana PCC 7113
Lineage: Bacteria; Bacillati; Cyanobacteriota; Cyanophyceae; Coleofasciculales; Coleofasciculaceae
Description: Microcoleus sp. PCC 7113 Cyano-1 RNA
Rfam family: Cyano-1 RNA
Source: Rfam by way of RNAcentral